Molecule: long non-coding RNA, 6770 nt
Organism: Ctenopharyngodon idella (grass carp)
Lineage: Eukaryota; Metazoa; Chordata; Actinopteri; Cypriniformes; Xenocyprididae
Exons: 5
Source: RefSeq, a predicted model, not a curated record
UGUAAAAAGCUGUCUGCAACUUGGGGAAGGCUAUUCCAUAGUUAGUUUAUCUACAGUGUUUGAAUUCCUGACCAGUGAUGUGUGAUUAAAAUGGUUAAGAGCAUUAAAAUAAUAUAUUUUUGGCUUGGUCCAUUUUUUGCCCAGGAGAUAUAAAAUAAAAUAUUUAUUUAUUUAUUUAUUUUUAUUAUUAUACACAGUAAAAAAAAAAAAAAAACGUUGGGUUAUUUUAUUAACCCAACCGUUGGGUUACACAUAUUAUGUGUAUACACAUUUUCUCGUUUUAUGUGUUUUUUUAUAUACAUACAAUAAAUAAAUCUAUACUAUAUUGGCCAUCAAAAAGUAAUUGUUAGUAUGGGCCAAAAUGUCUAAUUUAUGCAUCCGAAUUCUUUAAUUUAUAAUAAAUAAAUUGUGACAGGCUAACAAUAACUAGCUUGACGACUUCUAUAGCCUAUAUUUGUAGCCCAAUGUGCUCCUAGAUAUUCAGUAAGCAAUUCAAGAGAAAAUAUGGUACAUUACGUCAUAAUUUUGUCAAUCUAAUGUUUUUCUCUGCAGUUAUCUGCAAAUGUUUGAGUGUAUACUGAAGAUGUGUCGGGGAUGAUGAAGAUAUGAAGCCCAUUAGUUCGCCAUCAUCGUUGUCAACACAUUUACUGCAGUAUUAACACAGAUAACCGUAAUUGUCAACAUUGGAGAGGGGUGUCAGGUAUAGAGGAGAAGGCGGUUGAUAAUAUAUCUUCAUGAAUGAAUGUAUGAAAUACACGCAGAAUAAUAUGUGGGAAAUCAGCUCCAUCAUCUGAGAGCCUUUGAUCUCGGGCCUUUGUUAGUUCAUUGCCACGGAUUUUGAGUGAUUUGGGAAGGAUGCCCUGCGAGACUCGCCAGAAUUUGGUGUAAACCUCAAAGGACCACCUUGCGCAGAGCGAUAAGACGGUAUCAGUGAGCCAACGACCCUGGGUUCAUCCAUCAGACAGGGAUGAGAGCCACUGGGUGUACUAGUGCUGUUUGGCAGACACUACCACCAUGACAGCUUCCUCCCAUGACGAGCUUUUCCACACGUUUCCUCAAUCCAAUAUAAAUCUGCUCUAAAUAUACCCGCACUAUUUCCAGGUGUUAAUAAUAAACACCCAGCCCGAGAACAUUACAUUUACCCCUUCAAGAUGCAGACUAACACCCUCAAACUGACCCUUCAGACUUGAGGAAAGGGGUUGUUCUGUUCCACCCGUGUUGUUUCUAGACUCAUGAUCCGUCGAUCUUCACUACCUGUCACGAUUCUCAGUGCUCAAGGACGAACUAGUCGUGUAGGCUAUCUAAACGCGCUUGUCACGACCAGCUUCCUGCAAGCCUCCCUGAUGAACGGGUACCCAAAAUGUCCACUAGAUAGAGCUAUUCACUAAGCUCCUCCUGCAUUUGUGUCCCCUCUUCAGUCCGUAUAAGGUCAUGCAGUUUGUCUUCACUGAAGAGAGGAGCUUUAUGGAAAGUUGUUUUCACAAGGAAGACAUUCUUUCCACUUAAACCAGAUCAAAGAAAUUCAUACUGGUUUGGAUCAACAUAAAGAAACAGUCGCCAAGUCAGAAGCAAAAGCUGUCUGCUCCCGAAUGGGUCCAAAUGUUUGGAGUUUCCUCAGUGGCAGGCCAGAGAGAGAAAAAGGUGUCCUUUAUAUUCUCACUGUUUCCAUACGGCAUAUGGUCUUAUAAUAGGUGGAGCCGCUCGCUGCCUGGACGGAGAUCACUUUACUGAAUUGUUGCUAAGCACUACAGUACAAUGUUUUCUUUGUUUUGACAAAGCAUACUGAUAGUUUUCAUUACUACACCCCAAAAAGAGUUUACCAAAUUUCGACCAAGUUUCAUAAAAGUAGUGAGUAUAUGAUGAGCACCAUUUUUAUUCAUAAAGUUCAGAUAGGUAUGUUUUCAUGAAUGGGACGAAUAACUGUAAAACUAUGCAUAGCGUUCUAGCUCCUUUGUGUUUAUUGUUGUGGCAGCUGCUGUUGGUUACUAAGCCACUUUGACUCUCCAGCGCAAAGCUUAUUUUGUCUCCCUGGUAACUUUUGCCACACAAAAACACUUACUGUUGCGUCAAAACCAAGAAAAAUUGUGGAUCUGACCUUGAUUUUUGGACUUAUUUAGAUAUAUAUGAUUCUGUGAUGUCAUUACAACCCAGAGGCAAAGUUCCCAUCAAGGAAUAUUUAUGAUAUCCAUUACUUUUAAGGACAAAUGGAAAUGUAGACGCAAGAUUUAGUCACUGAACAACAACAAAAAUCACCUCGGCUUCAUAUCACAUUUGGAUGUGUCCUCUUUAGUAAACUUUUGUGUGAGUCACGGUGAGCAAAUAAAAAGUCCUCUGAAGAAAAUUUCCCUUAACUCUAAACUGAACUUUGACCAUUUUCAAGGAACUAACCCAGUGAGAAAACUACAAAGGUAUUUUUACCCAUGCAGAAAUGUUUAUACUUCCUCUUUUUUUAGUGCUCUGGACUCAUAAAAAGCUUUUAACAGAUUUAAACAUAGAUUUUAUUGGUACAAACCUUUUGCAGUAAAAAUUUGCCAACCUCUAACGUGAUCAAAAUCAAUUUUGAUUUGUUCUACACCUCAACCCUAAGUAUGAAACCUUUCCUAAAUAGUUAAAAAAUAAGGUAAAUGUGACUCUAUAUCUCACAAUUGUGAUUGUAUUUCUGCCAGUUGUGACAAAAUCGCAUAACUGUGACUUUGUCUCACAAUAUGAUUUUAUUUAAUAUUUAUUUUCUGACAAGUAUCUUUUUAUCUUUUACUCUCUAUUUAAGAAAAAAUGCAACACACACUCUAGAAGAAAAAAGUUUGGACUAUCUUUUACUCUCUGGCAGAAAUGGGAUUGCAUAGUUUUAAACUUGCACCUAAGCAACCACAUAGCAAUACCCUAGCAACUGCACCUUCGCAACUGCAUAACAACCUCAUAGAAACAUGCCACAACCAGAACACCUUAGCAACUGCACAGUAAUGUCCUGGCAACCGGCCAGAUCACCCUAGCGACAACAUAGCAACACCCUAGAAACUACACCUUAGAUGUAGUAGAACAUGUUGAAACACAGAACACCUUAGCAACUGCAUAGCAAGACCCUGGCAGUUUCCCAGAACACCCUAGUCAAAACCAUUCAGACCACCUUAGCAAUUGCAUAGCAAUAUGUUGGCAACCACCCUAAACACCAUAGCAACCGCUUAGCAACCUGCUAGAAAAAUUCAGAACACCCAAGCAACUGCAUAGCAACACCCUGGCAACCACUUAGACUAAUAGCAGUGAGUUUUACAUGGGCAACGAAGUAGUUGCCUUUUAUAAAAAUAAAAAAAAUCUAGUUACAAAUCUGUAACUAAAUCUGAUGUAAACAACAUCAGUGUCUAUUCGAAAAGAAUUACUGUGUGUGUGUUCAUGUUUGACUAACGUGAAAUUUCUCACUAUUUUCAGACCUGUCUACGGCAUGGCUCCUGUUGGGACAAAUGACCCUCCUGUAACGACAAAACAUGAGAAAGUUACACCAGCCUUUUUUCUCAUAGCGGCCAUCUGUCUGCUCUAAUUGCCCCAAGCUUCCUUUGCUCUCAACAUGCCCCAGCUUGUAGCAUUUAAGGAGAUAUCUAAAUGUUCAGGCCUGUUGUCAUUGCAAAAGCCUCACAUAUCAGUUCCAUGAGUGCUUGCUAUCCGUUUGUAGAGUCUAUAAAGCUUUUGGGAACUGCAAUUAAACGCAACCCCACGCCCAACAGGAAACAUACAUCAAUGUGACGUUUUGCGCGUGUAGUUCGUCUCUGGUCUUCUGGCCCGGUCCUUCAAGGUGGACCCUCCCCCCAAACCCACAACUCCACGACAACACCCCCUUCCUUCACCAUCCCAGGCUGCUCCUGUUUCAGGAAGCCCGGCCCUGUCACUGAUCCCAUGCUGGCAUUUUUCCCAGGAUACCCCUCCCCCGGUCCCGUUUUCCCUCCAACCACCCCCUUCUCCUCCAAUCCUCGGCACCCUCCCCCACCCAAAUCCUUUUCCCCUCCUGUCCUCUGCCAGUUUCCCAAGAUAAACAAAGACUUCAGUUUGUCUGGGCUCCGGCAGGGGUCAAAUGGAAUGAAUAGCGGGGCCGUAGCGAGGGCUCUUUCUCUCUCCCCUCCUUGAAAAGAUCACUGCCGAAUUGUCUUUGUGAUUGUGCUCUUGCAGGGGGGAAGGGCGUUGAGUCAUUGUAGACCAGUUUGAAAGUUCUAACUGCUUUGCGGUUACAACUUUCAGUUCCCUGUUUGGUUUUAUUGCACUGGAGCUGUAGUUUCCCUGUUUAUUUUGCAGUCUCACAUAAACGGCCUAAUCUGAGAUAAUCCGUAUGACGAGAUGCCAUAUUUUGUUAUUACUGGCAAACCGAUCACAAUAAAGAAAAUACAAUAUGCACAGAUUUCAUAUUUAUUUUCUUCACUACUGGAAGCACGUCUGAUCUUUUGGCGGAUGACAGAUGGUUUGUUAAUGUUUUGAAGGCUUCUGAUUAGGUUCGGUAAUUCCUGCACGUACAAAGCUGAUUUGAAUGGACAAUGACUCAUUUAAGCUGUCGCAUGAAUAUGGGAGAGUUCAUGUAUUGGUUUGUGAGAUUAUUCUCACACUUUGCGCCCAACCCCCUCAGGUAGUUUUAGAGGAGUACUGUUUAAAGACCUUAGUUUACUCUAGGUGGAUGAGUAGCAUUGUGGAGACUGAUGAGAUCAUUGACGAAAUGCUUUGUGGGACACUCCGGUUGAUGUGUCAAUGCGGAGAUAUCCAUCUUGCUGAAUGAGUGGUCAAAAGUUUUCCUGACUUGCUGUUUGCUUUGAACAAAGGAACUUCUGGGGUAGAUCUUGUCUCUACUUGUAUUCAGACGGGUGUUUUGUUCAGGCAUCUUUCUGCCCUGCUCUAUGGGACUGACCAUGUUAGACAGGGACACGGCAUGGCUCUUAGCACACAAUAAAUCACCUAUACACCUAAAACAGUCCUUGACAUCUUAUCUUUAUUGCUUGAUGGUCUCUUUUUGUUGUUCGGAGCUAUUAUACAAGUUUUGCUAAUUAGCAAGUCAUUAUCACUUUUAAUAAUUCUAAUGCUUUCGGUUAGGGAUUUGACGCUAAGUAGUGAACUUUGGUUUUGAUGUUACUUUUCUAAAUGUUCAUACUGUUGAUUUUUGCUUGGCCUAUGAUAAAAUGGAUUAAAAAAGUCCUAUAGAUUUAUAUUUAAGUGGGUGUAUGAUAUUAAUGGGCUAAAAUAUCAUAACAUGUCUUUAUAUGGUUUGUUAUAGAGUCUUUAGUCAAGUCGUCUAAUGUGACACAAUGUGUAAUCAAAUAUUUGCGUAUUAAAAAAUGGGUGUGGUCAUAUUUACUGUUGUUCAGCAAAUUUUGGGGGGUAAAAUCCAGUCAUUUCAAUAGGAAUCCACACGAUCUGGAAUUUCUUGUGAGGGUGAAAGAUUUGUGCAUGCAGAUUUCACAACAAGUUCAAUGAAUUCGCUGGGUUGACCUACAGAAAGCUGCUUGGAUUGAAAGUGACUUCUGUGUGAGUGGUGCUUCAGGCAACGCUAUACUUGACAAUGGAUCUUUUUGCCUGCAGGAUUUCGCUAAUCUGACCACAACUUUGUGAAAACUGGAUUGGUAUGAUUUCAGUCGAACAUUGAGCAUUUAUAUGACAUUUUAAAAAGACAAAUUAUUGUUUUAGUCCAACUGAAAUAGAAACUUGGCCUAGUAAGUAACCACCCAGAGCACCCGAGCAAUAGCAUAACAACAAUUCAGAAAGCUUAGCAACACUGUGGCAACACAUUUUUUUUUUUUUUCAUAAAAUAAAAAUCUUGUUGUUGCAUUAUCAUUUGGCAUGAGUCUGAUCUGCCACACGAUUACCUGAUAAUUUACCAAAACUUUAAUCAGAUCAACAUUCUCUGCUUUUGACUCAACAUUCCAGACCCACAUGCUCUCCUACUGAAUAUCGGCAGGAAACGUUUUCACAACUUUGCUCUUUUCCUCCCACCCCCCACCCCCUUUCCUUCCAGGACAGAGGAAUGCAGGAGCGAGAGGCCAGUCCGGAGAGGACAGCUGGAUGUGUUUAAGCAUGGUUUGUGAAGCAGCCAGUGAUGUUGCAUCACAUGCGUCAAACGUUUUUAGAUCUAUAUGUUGAUUUUGGAUUAGAUUUCCCAAUGCCAAUAAUAACUUUAGGUAUUACGUUAUUAAAGGAACUGCAGAAAUUUGAGGAAAAGUCCACCCCAGCCAAGAGUUACACGUCAGGCCACGCCCUCGUCAUCUGCUCCAGCUCUGUUGCUGUUCUGUGCUGGUGUGGUCAGCUGACUUGGCCAUGGCUGGGAUUUGAAUGACCCACAUUUCUCAAACGAGCAGGGCGAGAGAGCAGCUUUACUCUUGCCUUCUGGUCUUUCUCGAGGGAAUGUAUCUAUCAAUAGCUGCCCAUGUCUGUGUGAAAGAAUGCGGCCACACCGGACACCAAGCUGGUUCUGCUGGAGCCAACGUCAGCUUUCAAUGUAGAGAAAAUUGCUCACACUUUAAAAAGCUGAACAUACUGUUAAAAAACUUAAGGAGCCUUUUGUACCUGACCUUUACAAAUCACUUUACCCCCAGUGAAUUUCAAUGACUUUUCCAGUUUUCUAGUUAUUUGUGAUUACUGGAGAAGGAUUUUAAAAUAAUUUUAUUAGAGAUUCAGUUUUAAAAUAUUAUAUAUUAUCAUUGUAAUUAUUAUAUUUUAGAUGCUAAAUUAUAAGUUCAUUUUAAAUGAUUUUACAUGUAUAUUAUAAAUUGUAUAUAAUGUGAAAUAUUAUAAAGUUAUAACCAUAA